RNAcentral lists this ribosomal RNA (253 nucleotides) under uncultured bacterium. Its description in RNAcentral is "partial 16S ribosomal RNA". It matches the Rfam family "Bacterial small subunit ribosomal RNA", at positions 524 to 776 of the family's 1533-position model. The record is from RNAcentral.
UACGGAGGGAGCUAGCGUUGUUCGGAGUUACUGGGCGUAAAGCGCACGUCGGCGGCCGUUCAAGUCAGAGGUGAAAGCCCGGGGCUCAACCCCGGAAUAGCCUUUGAAACUAGAUGGCUCGAAUCUUGGAGAGGUCAGUGGAAUUCCGAGUGUAGAGGUGAAAUUCGUAGAUAUUCGGAAGAACACCAGUGGCGAAGGCGACUGACUGGACAAGUAUUGACGCUGAGGUGCGAAAGCGUGGGGAGCAAACAGG